CCACAUUUAGAGCAAUUUCAUUUCUUAUCAUAUAUAUUCAGAGAGCUUAUAAGCCUUUCUAGUAGAGCAUCAGCAAUGGGGGCUCGGAAAUUAGCUCGAGCCCCCAUUUUCCGCGCCCGCGCCCGCCCCCGUUGCCGUUGCCGCACCCUUGGCUCGCGCCAACUCCGCUCCAAUGCUUCGGGCUCAAACAGGAGAGAGAUUAGGCGCGUGCUAUGCACCGCCCAAUCAGUUAAUUUC
This 237-nucleotide long non-coding RNA is filed under the name Salvia miltiorrhiza (redroot sage). RNAcentral's name for it is "long non-coding RNA (SMIL_LNC003561)". The record is from RNAcentral. Lineage: Eukaryota; Viridiplantae; Streptophyta; Magnoliopsida; Lamiales; Lamiaceae.